Molecule: non-coding RNA, 106 nt
Organism: Acanthosepion pharaonis
Lineage: Eukaryota; Metazoa; Mollusca; Cephalopoda; Sepiida; Sepiidae
Source: the annotation of a GenBank genome assembly
GACCACAUCACAUUAAAACACUGCUUCCCAUAUGCACACCGAAAUUAAGCAACAUUGAGCAUAGUCAGUACUUGGAUGGGUGACAACUUGGGAAUACCAGGUGCUA